Molecule: non-coding RNA, 73 nt
Organism: Stegodyphus mimosarum
Lineage: Eukaryota; Metazoa; Arthropoda; Arachnida; Araneae; Eresidae
Source: Rfam
GCCUUCGUAGUGUAGUGGUCAGUACACUCGACGUGUAACCGAGAGGUCCGUGGUUCGAUUCCCAGCGAAAGCG